This 507-nucleotide ribosomal RNA is filed under the name uncultured bacterium. Its description in RNAcentral is "partial 16S ribosomal RNA". It matches the Rfam family "Bacterial small subunit ribosomal RNA", at positions 28 to 507 of the family's 1533-position model. The record is from RNAcentral.
GACGAACGCUGGCGGCGUGCCUAAUACAUGCAAGUCGAACGCAUUUUCUUUCACCGUAGCUUGCUACACCGAAAGAAAAUGAGUGGCGAACGGGUGAGUAACACGUGGGUAACCUGCCCAUCAGCGGGGGAUAACACUUGGAAACAGGUGCUAAUACCGCAUAAUUCCAUUUACCGCAUGGUAGAUGGAUGAAGGGCGCUUUUGCGUCACUGAUGGAUGGACCCGCGGUGCUUUAGCUAGUUGGUGGGGUAACGGCCUACCAAGGCUGCGAUGCAUAGCCGACCUGGGAGGGUGGUCGGCCCAACUGGGAAUGGGACACGGCCCAGGCUCCUACGGGAGGCAGCAGUAGGGAAUCUUCGGCAAUGGACGCAAGUCUGACCGAGCAACGCCGCGGGAGUGAAGAAGGUUUUCGGAUCGUAAAACUCUGUUGUUAGAGAAGAACAAGGAUGAGAGUGGAAAGUUCAUCCCUUGACGGUAUCUAACCAGAAAGCCACGGCUAACUACGUG